GUUAGUGUUAGGGUUAGAGUUAGGGUUAGGGUUAGGGUUAGAGAUGGGGUUAGUGUUAGGGUUAGAGAUGGGGUUAGUGUUAGGGUUAGAGAUGGGGUUAGUGUUAGUGUUAGAGAUGGGGUUAGUGUUAGGGUUAGAGAUGGGUUUAGAGUUAGGGUUAGAGAUGGGGUUAAUGUUAGGGUUAGAGAAGGGGUUAGAGAUGGUGUUAGAGUUGGGGUUAGUGUUAGGGUUAGAGAUGGGUUAGUGUUAGGGUUAGAGAUGGGG
Long non-coding RNA from Ictalurus punctatus (channel catfish), 264 nucleotides. The record is from Ensembl. Lineage: Eukaryota; Metazoa; Chordata; Actinopteri; Siluriformes; Ictaluridae.